This 86-nucleotide transfer RNA is filed under the name Veillonella sp. RNAcentral's name for it is "tRNA-Leu". It matches the Rfam family "tRNA". Rfam says of the family: Transfer RNA (tRNA) molecules are approximately 80 nucleotides in length. Lineage: Bacteria; Bacillati; Bacillota; Negativicutes; Veillonellales; Veillonellaceae. The record is from RNAcentral.
GCGGUUGUGGUGGAUUGGCAGACACGCCAUCUUGAGGGGGUGGUGAGCGUACGCUCGUGAGGGUUCAAGUCCCUCCAACCGCACCA